UGUGUGUGUACCUGUUUGACUUCGGCCUGUAGGUGUCUCAGCUGUACACACUGCUCCUGGUGUGUGUGUGUACCUGUUUGACUUCGGCCUGUAGGUGUCUCAGCUGUACACACUGCUCCUGGUGUGUGUGUGUACCUGUUUGACUUCGGCCUGUAGGUGUCUCAGCUGUACACACUGCUCCUGGUGUGUGUGUGUACCUGUUUGACUUCGGCCUGUAGGUGUCUCAGCUGUACACACUGCUCCUGGUGUGUGUGUGUACCUGUUUGACUUCGGCCUGUAGGUGUCUCAGCUGUACACACUGCUCCUGGUGUGUGUGUGUACCUGUUUGACUUCGGCCUGUAGGUGUCUCAGCUGUACACACUGCUCCUGGUGUGUGUGUGUACCUGUUUGACUUCGGCCUGUAGGUGUCUCAGCUGUACACACUGCUCCUGGUGUGUGUGUGUGUGU
Molecule: long non-coding RNA, 447 nt
Organism: Oncorhynchus keta (chum salmon)
Lineage: Eukaryota; Metazoa; Chordata; Actinopteri; Salmoniformes; Salmonidae
Exons: 3
Source: RefSeq, a predicted model, not a curated record